CAUGGGUUGCCACUGACAAAAGCCUGUAGUGAUGGCUACUGCUUUUAAACUCAGAGGCUAGAUCAGUUACUAAAUAACUUCUUCCCAUUUCUAGAAUCACAGGAGACUAUCUUAGCUGUUGAUUUGCCUGAAGAUGACAUGAUACCUGGGAAGAACUUGGAAGGUUUUCUAGGAGACAUUGGAAUUAAGUCACCUAAAGAAGAGGUAGAGAAAAUUCUUCAGUCAGAUUUUGUUUCUGAAGACAACAUGGUGAAUGUUAAAGACUAUAUGAAGACUCUGAGUGACACCCAGAAACUUUCCAGUUUUAUUGGUAAGAUCUUUACGGUAAACUGUUAAAAAGCAACUCAGGACUCAUUUAGAGGUCAUCUAGUCAAACACUAUAUUGGAUGCUUAAUCUUCUCUGUGG
RNAcentral lists this long non-coding RNA (406 nucleotides) under Capra hircus (goat). Its description in RNAcentral is "lncRNA (ENSCHIG00000005422.1)". The record is from RNAcentral. Lineage: Eukaryota; Metazoa; Chordata; Mammalia; Artiodactyla; Bovidae.